GAACUAGCUAACUGAAAUCUUAAAUUUUAAAAUAUUUAAGAUAAGGUAAGAGAAAAUAAUGAUAUUAUCUUACUAUUAGUGUCGUCUAAAUUUGGUGCCAGAAGACUCGGUAAGACCUUAGACGCAAACGUUAAUCGUCAUAAUCAGGCGUAAAGGGUGUGUAGGCGGCUUUAAAAAAAUAUUUAUAUUUAAAUUAAAGCUAGAAUCUAAAAGAGGGUAAGCUAAACAACAUAAUUAAUUAGGAUUGACAACUUAUAAUAAUGUGGAGUACUAAAGGUUAAAGCUAUUUAUCUACUUAAGAUUGACGCUCAGAAACGAAGGGGAGAAUAAGAAACUUAGAUUAGAGACCUAAUUAUCUCUCUCAGUCAACGAUGAAUGGUAGUUAUUAAAAAUACAAAUAUAAUUUCUUUAUUAUAUAAAUAUUAGUAACGAGGUUAACACGAUGACCAUUCCGCCUUGUUAGUAAGACUGCAAAGUUGAAAACAAAAAAAUUAGUCGGUCUUGAAGCAAACG
RNAcentral lists this ribosomal RNA (513 nucleotides) under Leccinum caespitosum. RNAcentral's name for it is "Chamonixia caespitosa partial 12S small subunit ribosomal RNA". It matches the Rfam family "Bacterial small subunit ribosomal RNA", at positions 401 to 931 of the family's 1533-position model. The record is from RNAcentral. Lineage: Eukaryota; Fungi; Basidiomycota; Agaricomycetes; Boletales; Boletaceae.